Rhinopithecus roxellana (golden snub-nosed monkey) is the source of this 485-nucleotide long non-coding RNA. RefSeq lists it as uncharacterized. Lineage: Eukaryota; Metazoa; Chordata; Mammalia; Primates; Cercopithecidae. The record is from RefSeq and is a predicted model, not a curated record. The transcript has 3 exons.
AACUUACAAUGAUUUUUUUUUUUUUUUUUUUUUUUUUUGUAAGAAAGAGGGAAGACAGCACUUGAAGGGAAAGAGGGUAAAGAAGAGGAAGGGAGGUUACAAUUGAGAGCACCGCAGAAGGAAGCGAUGCAGAUGUUCGGCUCUGGCGGACCGAAGGAGGAACCCCACGCAUAGCACAGCUAUCAUGGAUGCUGAUGGGGCCCCAGAGCCCCCUUCGCCAGGCUGCCGUCGUCAGCCUAGAGCUGUCCCCAUCCCCAGAGAUUUGGCCUGAGUCAAAUAUGAGCACGCCCUGGAAGAGUUUUUCCUGAAAAACACUUCCCAUCAAUGUCUGUCGGAUGGCCAGGUGCGGUGGCUCACGUCCGUAAUCUCAGCCCUUUGGGAGGCUGAGGCGGGAGGAUUGCUUGAGCUCAGGAGUUUGAGACCAGCCUGGGCAAAUAGUGAGACCUCAUCUCAACUAAAAUAAACUAUUAGCUGGAUGGGAUGGA